GAGAGAGGACCUAAUUUGAUUCCUAGCCUUUGGGUCAUGGAUGGCACUUUACUGUGCGUCUAUGAUCAUUUCCUUCGGGAGGGUUAGGAACAAUUACUUUGAAAAAAUUAGAGUGUUCAAAGCAAGCUUAACGCAUGAAUACAUUAGCAUGGAAUAAUGAAAUAGGACUUUGGUCUAUUUUGUUGGUUAAUAGAACCAAGGUAAUGAUGAAUAGGGAUAGUUGGGGGCAUUAGUAUUUAAUUGUCAGAGGUGAAAUUCUUGGAUUUAUGAAAGACUAACUUCAGCGAAAGCAUUUGCCAAGGACAUUCCCAUUGAUCAAGGACGAAAGUUGGGGUAUCGAAGAUGAUUAGAUACCGUCGUAGUCUCAACCAUAAACUAUGCCGACUAGGGAUCAGAUCGUCAUGAGAUGAUUUGGCACCUUAUGAGAAAUCAAAGUUUUUGGGUUCCGGGGGGAGUAUGGUCGCAAGGCUGAAACUUAAAGGAAUUGACGGAAGGGCACCACCAGGAGUGGAGCCUGCGGCUUAAUUUGACUCAACACGGGGAAACUUACCAGGUCCAGACAUAGUGAGGAUUGACAGAUUGAGAGCUCUUUCUUGAUUCUAUGGGUGGUGGUGCAUGGCCGUUCUUAGUUGGUGGAGUGAUUUGUCUGGUUAAUUCCGAUAACGAACGAGACCUUUAUCUACUAAAUAGCUUAUUCAAUCAUUUUGAUUGAUUGAAGCUUCUUAGAGAGACUAUUGA
RNAcentral lists this ribosomal RNA (738 nucleotides) under uncultured eukaryote. Its description in RNAcentral is "bacterial SSU rRNA". It matches the Rfam family "Eukaryotic small subunit ribosomal RNA", at positions 659 to 1426 of the family's 1831-position model. The record is from RNAcentral.